RNAcentral lists this ribosomal RNA (429 nucleotides) under bacterium. RNAcentral describes it as "partial 16S ribosomal RNA". It matches the Rfam family "Bacterial small subunit ribosomal RNA", at positions 355 to 776 of the family's 1533-position model. The record is from RNAcentral.
UAGGGAAUCUUCGGCAAUGGGGGCAACCCUGACCAAGCAACGCCGCGUGAGUGAAGAAGGUUUUCGGAUCGUAAAGCUCUGUUGUAAGAGAAGAACGUGUGUGAGAGUGGAAAGUUCACACAGUGACGGUAACUUACCAGAAAGGGACGGCUAACUACGUGCCAGCAGCCGCGGUAAUACGUAGGUCCCGAGCGUUGUCCGGAUUUAUUGGGCGUAAAGCGAGCGCAGGCGGUUUAAUAAGUCUGAAGUUAAAGGCAGUGGCUUAACCAUUGUUCGCUUUGGAAACUGUUAAACUUGAGUGCAGAAGGGGAGAGUGGAAUUCCAUGUGUAGCGGUGAAAUGCGUGGAUAUAUGGAGGAACACCGGUGGCGAAAGCGGCUCUCUGGUCUGUAACUGACGCUGAGGCUCGAAAGCGUGGGGAGCAAACAGG